RNAcentral lists this long non-coding RNA (838 nucleotides) under Drosophila guanche. The record is from RNAcentral. Lineage: Eukaryota; Metazoa; Arthropoda; Insecta; Diptera; Drosophilidae.
GUCAGCGGCGGAUCCAAGGUUCAAGGGGAUACACAUAUGUAUACUCAUAUACUCAUGUAUGUACAUCAUUGUUGUCCAUUUACAGGUUUCGCCCACUGAGGAAUGCUUUGGAAUGCUCCGAUCAGAUCUUUAUACAUGUGCAAUGUCCAAGGGUUUCGAAAUUCGUGUCAGUCAUCGCGAAGAAACAGCGUAGCCAGGGGGUUGGCCGACUGUUGCCACUGUAGGACCCUACAAUUAUUGAAAUUAACAGACUAAUUAGACAAAUCGAUCAAAUAUUAUGGCACGUUCAUUCUGUAAUUACCAGUACCCAUUGCUUAGGGUACAAGGGUGACCGAGUAUUAAACCAAAAUCAUAUUUACCGACCGCACAAGUUUUCCUAUAGCAGGUACAUUAAUAGCCGAAAAGAUUCAAUUAAACACAAUGUACUCGAACAAUGGUUAUCUACAGACACCUCAAAUGUACAUAUGGGGGUUUUUCUCAUACAUAUGUAUGUAAUAAAAAUUUGUUAAUUGUUAAAACGUUUUUCUAAUGAUAACGUAUCUCUUGAGUAGCCCUAUAAGUUACAGUUUCGAGCGGGACAAAAAUUGAAGCGGAUUUCGUGGCCAUCAAUUCCAACUCUGCCAAAUUGUAUCCAAUAUAUGUAUUUUUAUGUAAAAUGGUUAUAUAAUGGAUUUAAUUUAACACAAAUUGGAUUCCUAUGUUUUUAAAAAUUAAAUUCUCGUACGGGAAAAUAGUUUUAAUGAUUUAGAUAGAUUAAUAUGUUAGAAAGAGUUUGUGGAAAAAUGGGCAUACUCGUAUGUAUUAUUGUUAGCUAAAAAUGUUUCUAAAUAUCUAGGCG